RNAcentral lists this ribosomal RNA (459 nucleotides) under Pseudomonas viridiflava. RNAcentral's name for it is "bacterial SSU rRNA". It matches the Rfam family "Bacterial small subunit ribosomal RNA", at positions 55 to 510 of the family's 1533-position model. The record is from RNAcentral. Lineage: Bacteria; Pseudomonadati; Pseudomonadota; Gammaproteobacteria; Pseudomonadales; Pseudomonadaceae.
AUGCAGUCGAGCGGUAGAGAGAAGCUUGCUUCUCUUGAGAGCGGCGGACGGGUGAGUAAUGCCUAGGAAUCUGCCUGGUAGUGGGGGAUAACGCUCGGAAACGGACGCUAAUACCGCAUACGUCCUACGGGAGAAAGCAGGGGACCUUCGGGCCUUGCGCUAUCAGAUGAGCCUAGGUCGGAUUAGCUAGUUGGUGAGGUAAUGGCUCACCAAGGCGACGAUCCGUAACUGGUCUGAGAGGAUGAUCAGUCACACUGGAACUGAGACACGGUCCAGACUCCUACGGGAGGCAGCAGUGGGGAAUAUUGGACAAUGGGCGAAAGCCUGAUCCAGCCAUGCCGCGUGUGUGAAGAAGGUCUUCGGAUUGUAAAGCACUUUAAGUUGGGAGGAAGGGCAGUAACCUAAUACGUUAUUGUUUUGACGUUACCGACAGAAUAAGCACCGGCUAACUCUGUGCCA